This is a long non-coding RNA of Vigna angularis (adzuki bean), 310 nucleotides long. RefSeq lists it as uncharacterized. The transcript has 3 exons. The record is from RefSeq and is a predicted model, not a curated record. Lineage: Eukaryota; Viridiplantae; Streptophyta; Magnoliopsida; Fabales; Fabaceae.
GAACUUUGGCAAUUAAAAGGUUCUUGCAUAUUGAAAGGUAAUAAUACAAGAUGGACUCUUUAUUCAACCUUAUGACAAAACAAUUGGAAGAAAGCACGACACAAGUGUGCAAAGAUACUAGGUAUGCUUGCUUGUUGGGUGGAAGAUCCAAAUGGAGAAGCUUUGAAAAAGCAUCUUGCUAGAAUCCCAGAUUAUUUAUCGGUUUCAGAAGAUGGAAUGACCUUGCAGGUUUGUUGUUGUUGUCAACUGGUGGAAUGAAUUUGCUAAAGAUGUCAUCAACGAAAUGUGUUGGAGGCUUGUUGGUAACAAC